ACUCAAAGGAAUAGACGGGGGCCCGCACAAGCAGCGGAGCAUGUGGUUUAAUUCGACGCAACGCGAAGAACCUUACCAGGCCUUGACAUCCUAUGCCAUCCCUAGAGAUAGGGAGUUUCGCAAGAACAUAGAGACAGGUGGUGCAUGGUUGUCGUCAGCUCGUGUCGUGAGAUGUUUGGUUAAGUCCAGCAACGAGCGCAACCCUUACGGUCAGUUACCAGCGCGUUAUGGCGGGGACUCUGACAGGACUGCCCGGGUCAACCGGGAGGAAGGUGGGGACGACGUCAAAUCAUCAUGCCCCUUACGGCCUGGGCUACACACGUGCUACAAUGGCCGUUAACAAAGCGAAGCGAAGGCGCGAGCCGGAGCCAAACGCAUAAAAGCGGUCUCAGUUCAGAUUGAGGGCUGCAACCCGCCCUCAUGAAGUCGGAGUUGCUAGUAAUCGCGAAUCAGCAUGUCGCGGUGAAUACGUUCCCGGGCCUUGUACACACCGCCCGU
This 498-nucleotide ribosomal RNA is filed under the name uncultured bacterium. RNAcentral's name for it is "bacterial SSU rRNA". It matches the Rfam family "Bacterial small subunit ribosomal RNA", at positions 899 to 1397 of the family's 1533-position model. The record is from RNAcentral.